Molecule: signal recognition particle RNA, 100 nt
Filed under: Chloroflexota bacterium
Lineage: Bacteria; Bacillati; Chloroflexota
Description: Chloroflexi bacterium (anaerobic digester metagenome) signal recognition particle sRNA small type
Rfam family: Bacterial small signal recognition particle RNA
About the family: The signal recognition particle (SRP) is a universally conserved ribonucleoprotein involved in the co-translational targeting of proteins to membranes. Archaeal SRP consists of a 7S RNA and homologues of the eukaryotic SRP19 and SRP54 proteins.
Source: RNAcentral
GGGCGGGACCGGUGCGGCGAAGCCCUGCGAACCCCGUCAGGUCCGAGAGGAAGCAGCGGUAAGGAGGUUUCUUCGGGUGUUACCGGCAAACCUGCCCGGA